RNAcentral lists this ribosomal RNA (581 nucleotides) under uncultured cyanobacterium. Its description in RNAcentral is "bacterial SSU rRNA". It matches the Rfam family "Bacterial small subunit ribosomal RNA", at positions 67 to 692 of the family's 1533-position model. The record is from RNAcentral. Lineage: Bacteria; Bacillati; Cyanobacteriota.
CGGGAAUCUUCGGAUUCUAGUGGCGGACGGGUGAGUAACGCGUAAGAAUCUAACUUCAGGACGGGGACAACAGUUGGAAACGACUGCUAAUACCCGAUGUGCCGCAAGGUGAAACCUAAUUGGCCUGAAGAAGAGCUUGCGUCUGAUUAGCUAGUUGGUGGGGUAAAGGCCUACCAAGGCGACGAUCAGUAGCUGGUCUGAGAGGAUGAGCAGCCACACUGGGACUGAGACACGGCCCAGACUCCUACGGGAGGCAGCAGUGGGGAAUUUUCCGCAAUGGGCGAAAGCCUGACGGAGCAACGCCGCGUGAGGGAGGAAGGUCUUUGGAUUGUAAACCUCUUUUCUCAAGGAAGAAGUUCUGACGGUACUUGAGGAAUCAGCCUCGGCUAACUCCGUGCCAGCAGCCGCGGUAAUACGGGGGAGGCAAGCGUUAUCCGGAAUUAUUGGGCGUAAAGCGUCCGCAGGUGGUCAGCCAAGUCUGCUGUCAAUCAGGUUGCUUAACGACCUAAAGGCGGUGGAAACUGGCAGACUAGAGAGCAGUAGGGGUAGCAGGAAUUCCCAGUGUAGCGGUGAAAUGCGUA